Molecule: long non-coding RNA, 444 nt
Filed under: Salvia miltiorrhiza (redroot sage)
Lineage: Eukaryota; Viridiplantae; Streptophyta; Magnoliopsida; Lamiales; Lamiaceae
Description: long non-coding RNA (SMIL_LNC009935)
Source: RNAcentral
AUAUUUUCAUCACUUUUAAUACAUUCAUUAACUUUGUUUUAAAACUCGUGUCUUUUCCUUCUAGGAAUUUAUUUAAGGAAAUGAAGUAUAAAUAAAUGAAAAGGAACUACAAUUGUUGAAAUAAAAAAUGGAAAUUAACUUGGCAAAAGAAAAGGAAUUAGACAAAAAUAAAAAUAAGAAAAAAAGUAGUAACAAAUAGAAACAGUAAAAAUUUCAAAUGGGCCCCAAUUUCUACAAAUUUUAUGGAAUAGGAUGCAAUAAUAGUGCAUCCGCUCUCUCCUAAUUCCACAUACUCAACAUAUCUCACCUCCCAAGGUACUUCAUCUCCUCUAAAACCUUCAUUCAAAAUGCGACCAAAAAUGAAUAGGGAAGAGGUGAUUUAAAAGUGCGAACUCCGAUCUUCAAACAGUGAAGUCUAGGGAUCAAACCCCACUGCUCUCCCUC